This 336-nucleotide unclassified non-coding RNA is filed under the name soil metagenome. RNAcentral's name for it is "partial contains 5.8S ribosomal RNA, internal transcribed spacer 2, and large subunit ribosomal RNA". The stretch from base 2 to 120 matches the Rfam family "5.8S ribosomal RNA", at positions 36 to 154 of the family's 154-position model. The record is from RNAcentral.
UAUGAAGAACGUAGCGAAAUGCGAUAAGUAAUGUGAAUUGCAGAAUUCAGUGAAUCAUCGAAUCUUUGAACGCACAUUGCGCCCGCCAGUAUUCUGGCGGGCAUGCCUGUUCGAGCGUCAUUUCAACCAUCAAGCCCCAGGCUUGUGUUGGGGACCUGCGGCUGCCGCAGGCCCUGAAAACCAGUGGCGGGCUCGCUGUCACACCGGGCGUAGUAGAUUUUAUCUCGCUCUGGGCGUGCUGCGGGUUCCGGCCGUUAAAAAACCCUUUUAACCCAAGGUUGACCUCGGAUCAGGUAGGAAUACCCGCUGAACUUAAGCAUAUCAAUAAGCGGAGGA